RNAcentral lists this ribosomal RNA (427 nucleotides) under uncultured bacterium. RNAcentral's name for it is "partial 16S ribosomal RNA". It matches the Rfam family "Bacterial small subunit ribosomal RNA", at positions 355 to 774 of the family's 1533-position model. The record is from RNAcentral.
UGGGGAAUAUUGCACAAUGGGCGCAAGCCUGAUGCAGCCAUGCCGCGUGUAUGAAGAAGGCCUUCGGGUUGUAAAGUACUUUCAGCGAGGAGGAAGGCGGUAAGGUUAAUAACCUUAUCGAUUGACGUUACUCGCAGAAGAAGCACCGGCUAACUCCGUGCCAGCAGCCGCGGUAAUACGGAGGGGGCAAGCGUUAAUCGGACUUACUGGGCGUAAAGCGCACGCAGGCGGUCUGUCAAGUCGGAUGUGAAAUCCCCGGGCUCAACCUGGGAACUGCAUUCGAAACUGGCAGGCUAGAGUCUUGUAGAGGGGGGUAGAAUUCCAGGUGUAGCGGUGAAAUGCGUAGAGAUCUGGAGGAAUACCGGUGGCGAAGGCGGCCCCCUGGACAAAGACUGACGCUCAGGUGCGAAAGCGUGGGGAGCAAACA